Molecule: ribosomal RNA, 253 nt
Filed under: uncultured bacterium
Lineage: Bacteria
Description: partial 16S ribosomal RNA
Rfam family: Bacterial small subunit ribosomal RNA
Source: RNAcentral
UCCGUAGGGUGCAAGCGUUGUCCGGAAUUAUUGGGCGUAAAGAGCUCGUAGGCGGUCUGUCGCGUCGGCUGUGAAAACCCGAGGCUCAACCUCGGGCCUGCAGUCGAUACGGGCAAACUAGAGUACUGCAGGGGAGACUGGAAUUCCUGGUGUAGCGGUGAAAUGCGCAGAUAUCAGGAGGAACACCGGUGGCGAAGGCGGGUCUCUGGGCCGAAACUGACGCUGAGGAGCGAAAGCGUGGGGAGCAAACAGG